UCCGGGAGACACACGGCGGGUGCUAACGUCCGUCGUGGAGAGGGAAACAACCCAGACCGCCAGCUAAGGUCCCAAAAUAUUGCUAAGUGGGAAACGAUGUGGGAAGGCAUAGACAGCUAGGAGGUUGGCUUAGAAGCAGCCAUCCUUUAAAGAAAGCGUAAUAGCUCACUAGUCGAGUCGGCCUGCGCGGAAGAUGUAACGGGGCUAAGCAAUAUACCGAAGCUGCGGCAGCAAGUUUACUUGCUGGGUAGGGGAGCGUUGUGUAAGUGGAUGAAGGUGAGUUGUAAAGCUUGCUGGACAUAUCACAAGUGCGAAUGCUGACAUGAGUAACGAUAAUGGGAGUGAAAAACUCCCACGCCGGAAGACCAAGGUUUCCUGUCCCAUGCUAAUCAGGGCAGGGUAAGUCGGCCCCUAAGGCGAGGCAGAAAUGCGUAGUCGAUGGGAAACGGAUUAAUAUUUCCGUACUUAUAUAAUCAGUGAUGGAGGGACGGAGAAGGCUAGGCAAGCUUGGCGUUGGUUGUCCAAGUGAAAGCGAGUAGGCCGAGAAUUUAGGUAAAUCCGGAUUCUUAAAGCUGAGACGCGAGACGAGCUCCCAAGGGAGUGAAGUUGUUGAUGCCCUGCUUCCAGGAAAAGCUUCUAAACUUAUGAUUAUAUGAACCGUACCCCAAACCGACACAGGUGGUCAGGUAGAGAAUACUAAGGCGCUUGAGAGAACUCGGGUGAAGGAACUCGGCAAAAUUGUACCGUAACUUCGGGAGAAGGUACGCCUCUGUUUG
This 776-nucleotide ribosomal RNA is filed under the name Gymnodinium catenatum. RNAcentral's name for it is "partial Bacterial large subunit ribosomal RNA". It matches the Rfam family "Bacterial large subunit ribosomal RNA", at positions 976 to 1760 of the family's 2925-position model. Lineage: Eukaryota; Dinophyceae; Gymnodiniales; Gymnodiniaceae. The record is from RNAcentral.